RNAcentral lists this ribosomal RNA (643 nucleotides) under uncultured Actinomycetes bacterium. RNAcentral describes it as "bacterial SSU rRNA". It matches the Rfam family "Bacterial small subunit ribosomal RNA", at positions 232 to 885 of the family's 1533-position model. The record is from RNAcentral. Lineage: Bacteria; Bacillati; Actinomycetota; Actinomycetes.
CGCGGCCUAUCAGCUUGUUGGUGGGGUAAUGGCUCACCAAGGCGACGACGGGUGGCCGGCCUGAGAGGGUGACCGGCCACACUGGGACUGAGACACGGCCCAGACUCCUACGGGAGGCAGCAGUGGGGAAUAUUGCACAAUGGGCGAAAGCCUGAUGCAGCGACGCCGCGUGAGGGAUGACGGCCUUCGGGUUGUAAACCUCUUUCAGCAGGGAAGAAGCGAAAGUGACGGUACCUGCAGAAGAAGCACCGGCUAACUACGUGCCAGCAGCCGCGGUAAUACGUAGGGUGCAAGCGUUGUCCGGAAUUAUUGGGCGUAAAGAGCUCGUAGGCGGUUUGUCGCGUCUGCUGUGAAAACGCGGGGCUUAACCUCGCGCGUACAGUGGGUACGGGCAGACUAGAGUGCGGUAGGGGAGACUGGAAUUCCUGGUGUAGCGGUGGAAUGCGCAGAUAUCAGGAGGAACACCGGUGGCGAAGGCGGGUCUCUGGGCCGUUACUGACGCUGAGGAGCGAAAGCAUGGGGAGCGAACAGGAUUAGAUACCCUGGUAGUCCAUGCCGUAAACGUUGGGCACUAGGUGUGGGGUCCGUUCCACGGGGUCCGCGCCGCAGCUAACGCAUUAAGUGCCCCGCCUGGGGAGUACGG